Molecule: transfer RNA, 68 nt
Filed under: Marmota monax (woodchuck)
Lineage: Eukaryota; Metazoa; Chordata; Mammalia; Rodentia; Sciuridae
Description: tRNA.Thr
Source: RNAcentral
GGUAUAUAGCUCAGUGGUAGAACAUUUGCCUAGUAUGCACAAGGCCCUGGUUUUGAUUCCUAGUACUG